GAUGGAAGAACGUAGCGAAAUGCGAUAAGUAAUGUGAAUUGCAGAAUCCAGUGAAUCAUCGAAUCUUUGAACGCACAUUGCGCCCGCCAGCAUUCUGGCGGGCAUGCCUGUUCGAGCGUCAUUUCAACCCUCGACCUCCCCUUGGGGAGGUCGGCGUUGGGGACCGGCAGCACACCGCCGGCCCUGAAAUGGAGUGGCGGCCCGUCCGCGGCGACCUCUGCGUAGUAAUACAGCUCGCACCGGAACCCCGACGCGGCCACGCCGUAAAACACCCAACUUCUGAACGUUGACCUCGAAUCAGGUAGGACUACCCGCUGAACUUAAGCAUAUCAAUAAGCGGAGGA
Molecule: unclassified non-coding RNA, 344 nt
Filed under: soil metagenome
Description: partial contains 5.8S ribosomal RNA, internal transcribed spacer 2, and large subunit ribosomal RNA
Rfam family: 5.8S ribosomal RNA (bases 5-121)
Source: RNAcentral